RNAcentral lists this ribosomal RNA (397 nucleotides) under uncultured bacterium. Its description in RNAcentral is "bacterial SSU rRNA". It matches the Rfam family "Bacterial small subunit ribosomal RNA", at positions 521 to 916 of the family's 1533-position model. The record is from RNAcentral.
UAACACGUAGGAGGCAAGCGUUAUCCGAAUUUACUGGGCGUAAAGCGCGUGCAGGCGGUUCGGUAAGUUGGAUGUGAAAUCUCCCGGCUCAACUGGGAGGGGACGUUCAAUACUGUCGGACUUGAGGACGAUAGAGGGAGGUGGAAUUCCCGGUGUAGUGGUGAAAUGCGUAGAUAUCGGGAGGAACACCAGUGGCGAAAGCGGCCUCCUGGAUCGUUCCUGACGCUCAGACGCGAAAGCUAGGGGAGCGAACGGGAUUAGAAACCCCGGUAGUCCUAGCCGUAAACGAUGUAGACUUGGUGUUGGUGGGGUAAAAUCCAUCAGUGCCGAAGCUAACGCGAUAAGUCUACCGCCUGGGGACUACGGUCGCAAGGCUAAAACUUAAAGGAAUUGACGG